GUAGGGAAUAUUGGACAAUGGGGGCAACCCUGAUCCAGCAAUGCCGCGUGAGUGAUGAAGGCCUUAGGGUUGUAAAGCUCUUUUACCCGAGAUGAUAAUGACAGUAUCGGGAGAAUAAGCUCCGGCUAACUCCGUGCCAGCAGCCGCGGUAAUACGGAGGGAGCUAGCGUUGUUCGGAAUUACUGGGCGUAAAGCGCACGUAGGCGGCGAUUUAAGUCAGAGGUGAAAGCCCGGGGCUCAACCCCGGAACUGCCUUUGAGACUGGAUUGCUUGAAUCCUGGAGAGGUGAGUGGAAUUCCGAGUGUAGAGGUGAAAUUCGUAGAUAUUCGGAAGAACACCAGUGGCGAAGGCGGCUCACUGGACAGGUAUUGACGCUGAGGUGCGAAAGCGUGGGGAGCAAACAGGAUUAGAAACCCUAGUAGUCC
This 425-nucleotide ribosomal RNA is filed under the name uncultured bacterium. RNAcentral describes it as "bacterial SSU rRNA". It matches the Rfam family "Bacterial small subunit ribosomal RNA", at positions 354 to 796 of the family's 1533-position model. The record is from RNAcentral.